GUUUGAUCCUGGCUCAGGAUGAACGCUGGCGGCAUGCCUAAUACAUGCAAGUCGAACGAGAGGAAGGAAAGCUUGCUUUUCUAAAUCUAGUGGCGAACGGGUGAGUAACACGUAGGUAACCUGCCCAUGUGCCCGGGAUAACUUCUGGAAACGGAUGCUAAAACCGGAUAGGUAGCAGACAAGCAUUUGACUGCUAUUAAAGUGGCUAAGGCCAUGAACAUGGAUGGACCUGCGGUGCAUUAGCUAGUUGGUGAGGUAACGGCCCACCAAGGCGACGAUGCAUAGCCGGCCUGAGAGGGCGGACGGCCACAUUGGGACUGAGACACGGCCCAAACUCCUACGGGAGGCAGCAGUAGGGAAUUUUCGUCAAUGGGGGGAACCCUGAACGAGCAAUGCCGCGUGAGUGAGGAAGGUCUUCGGAUCGUAAAGCUCUGUUGUAAGAGAAAAACGGCACUCAUAGGGAAUGAUGAGUGAGUGAUGGUAUCUUACCAGAAAGUCACGGCUAACUACGUGCCAGCAGCCGCGGUAAUACGUAGGUGGCGAGCGUUAUCCGGAAUGAUUGGGCGUAAAGGGUGCGUAGGUGGCAGAUCAAGUCUGGAGUAAAAGGUAUGGGCUCAACCCGUACUUGCUCUGGAAACUGAUCAGCUAGAGAACAGAAGAGGACGGCGGAACUCCAUGUGUAGCGGUAAAAUGCGUAGAUAUAUGGAAGAACACCGGUGGCGAAGGCGGCCGUCUGGUCUGGAUUCUGACACUGAAGCACGAAAGCGUGGGGAGCAAAUAGGAUUAGAUACCCUAGUAGUCCACGCCGUAAACGAUGAGAACUAGGUGUUGGGGGAAUAACUCAGUGCCGCAGUUAACGCAAUAAGUUCUCCGCCUGGGGAGUAUGCACGCAAGUGUGAAACUCAAAGGAAUUGACGGGGGCCCGCACAAGCG
RNAcentral lists this ribosomal RNA (933 nucleotides) under human gut metagenome. Its description in RNAcentral is "bacterial SSU rRNA". It matches the Rfam family "Bacterial small subunit ribosomal RNA", at positions 11 to 931 of the family's 1533-position model. The record is from RNAcentral.